CAAACUCACAGAGCUCUACCUCCCUCUGCCUCUCAAAUGCUGGGAUCCAAGGUGUGUGUCACUACCACCACCCAGCAAAAAUGAUAUAUAUUUUUUUUUUAAGGUUUUCUGAAGACAAUGUGGGCAUUGGUGUCCACGCUUGUAAAAUGAGGAUGGUUCUAUCUACCAUCCCAGGUAAACUCAUGGAGCUGCUGUGGGGACUACGUGGCAUAGACCUGCUGCACGUUUUGUAGAACCCAGAUAUACACAGUCCCAAGUUCCCUAGUGAGAAAGAGCUAAGCAAUUCUUUGUGUGUGUGUUGUGUGGGCAGUGCAUGUGGUUGUCUCUGUAUAACACGAUGGACCAUGUCUGUUUGGGAGUGGUGGUGGGUGAAGAUUUAUAGUGAGAAGGAAAGACAGGGGAGCUGUGACUUGCAGCCUAAGGCAAAGAAGAUGAUUCUGAGGUUGGGACAUAGCCAGGCUGCCUUCAAAAGUGAUGACCCAAUAAUCCCAGGGUUUUGCAAAGCUGGAAAUCCAGAGAUGAUUUCAGGGCAGAGUAGGCCGACCUGAUUGUGUUCCAUGGAAACCAUCCGUUUGGAGACCCUUGCUGGGGAAGGUCCUUGGUGAAAAAUCUUCAAGCCUCCAUGAGUUGCAGUAAUGAGAGGCAUGUUUGCAUCUAUCUGGAUGCUCAGACAUACAGGAUUUCAGCCAGCGGAGCUUCAGUAAAUAUUGAUGAAUUGAAGGACGCCCUAGGGAGGUGUCCUAGAGCAGCACAACCUGUUACCCCCCCCCCCGGCCUUAAUGGACUCCAUGGGAUCAGCAUCCAGAGUGAACAAGUUCUCAACAGCCCCAGAGACGCAUCACGUAUGUAGGCUGUGGUGCAAGCGUUAAGAUGACCUGAAUCAAGGAGCAGCUUUACUGUGAGAAGGCCUCCCCCUGACGCAAGCUGGACAGUAGAGCAUCAAUCAAUCAAUCAAUCAAUCUACAUUGCAUCUGGUGUUUUGUUUUUUCUUUUUUUUUUGAGAUAGGGUCUCACUAUGUAGCCUUAGCUGGUCUGGAACUUGGUAUGUAGACCAGGCUGGCCUCCUCCAGAUCUCCAUGUCUCUCUUCCUGCCUCCUGAGCGCUGGGAUUAAAAGUGCGCACUGCCAUUGUUUGACUAGAAACCUGCCCCCGAAGACUCCUGUAAACCUGUUGCCAGUACUGUAUUGCCAGUGCCAAACCCAGUGACCCCCAGUCAGCAUCUACAGCGUUAGAACUGAGUCCUCUGUGUGAUAACUGUCUUGGUGACUGUGAGGAAAUUUGGAGCGCAUCAGCCAAUUGGUGAAGACACUGGUCAUAGCUGUCACAUCCCAGUAGACCUUUUCUCAGUUACACGUUCACCUCAAAAGACUGAAGGAAGCAGCGGAGAGAUGGUCCAGUUCUCAGAUGGCCUUCAGCUUUGGUCCCCUCGGGCCGGCCAGAAGAAGUCUGCGUGGCGCGCUUUGCAUGAUGCGCUUUGCUGUCUUGAAUGGUGUGGGCAGUCUGGGAGAACCACACUGCCCUUCAACACUCUGAAGAUGUCUUCCAGUAAACCACCAACUCGUUGGCAUUCAAGUCCUUCUUUCCACAGAAUGCUAAGAAUCAGGCCUGCACAAUGUCAUCACACUGAUGUCACAAUGGCGGCUUCUUAUCCUUUGUUAACAGCGUUUUGCUCAUUUCCUCCUGAGAGAUCGGCAGAAUGGGCUUCAGCAUCCAUUUGACCAGCAUGCUGGACAGGAGCAUGAUUUCAAGGGAGAUCAAAGCCUUUCCUAUAGCUCUCCUCACCUAAUGGCCUAGUGAGUCCUCUCCAGAAUUCCCUUCAGCCAGCUCCUUCAUGGCAAUGCUCUGUCUAUCUUGCAAACGCCUCAAAGCCUUCCCAUCUCUCUCACCGCACCCUAAAGCCAGCUCUGCAUUUUUAGAUAUUUGUUUCUAUAGGAUUCCCCACCCCCCUUUUGCAACCAGUUUGUUUUAUUCUGCUGUCAGAAGAAUAAAAGAGUCAUUUAAACAACAU
Molecule: long non-coding RNA, 2008 nt
Filed under: Mus pahari (shrew mouse)
Lineage: Eukaryota; Metazoa; Chordata; Mammalia; Rodentia; Muridae
Description: predicted gene 6567 (MGP_PahariEiJ_G0004110.1)
Source: RNAcentral